GGAGGGUAUAGCUCAGUGGUAGAGUGUGUGCUUAUCAUGCUUGAGGUCCUGGGUUCAAUCCCCAGUACCUCUA
Molecule: transfer RNA, 73 nt
Filed under: Vicugna pacos (alpaca)
Lineage: Eukaryota; Metazoa; Chordata; Mammalia; Artiodactyla; Camelidae
Description: tRNA-Asp (ATC) (tRNA-Asp-ATC-28-1)
Rfam family: tRNA
About the family: Transfer RNA (tRNA) molecules are approximately 80 nucleotides in length.
Source: RNAcentral